This 2880-nucleotide long non-coding RNA is filed under the name Setaria italica (foxtail millet). Its description in RNAcentral is "long non-coding RNA (SITA_LNC007281)". Lineage: Eukaryota; Viridiplantae; Streptophyta; Magnoliopsida; Poales; Poaceae. The record is from RNAcentral.
UGCGCGACCUGCACCGCCACAGGUACUGGGUGUUCAUGGCGGCGCGAGCUGGGUGGGAUUCGCGAGCUCGAUGGUGAUGACGCUGAGCCUGCUGGUGCGGAUGGCCGUGGGUCGUUCGCCGUGGCCUACUCCAGCCUCGUGCUCACCUUCGUGGUGUCGCCGUGGCUCGUAAUCUGAUUAGCAGCUGCCUGUCAGAAAGAUGUGUGUGGUGGAAUUUGUUAUGCAAGCUGUAGUGUAGCUAGAAAACUCUGUGACCUGGGAACUUGAAAAUUCUGUAUUAGGAUUUACUGUAUCGAAUUUGUUGCAGAUGUUGUCAGCUAAUUAUAUGGUAUGAACAAACUAUUUUACGAGUGAACUGAGUGGAGCACAUUUAGUUAAGUUUAUUGUGGUGAAACUUGGCCACUCGAUUUGAAUUCUAAACUCAGUACAGGUACCCUUUUAUGUAUGUAUGUAUGUAUGCAUGCAUGCAUGCAUGCAUGUAUUCAAACAGCAGGUGAUUUAUCCGGGCGACUUUGAUGGCUUCGUUAGUCUUAAAAUUUGUUGGUUCAUCUUUUGGAGAUGCUCGUAUUCGCAAGGAGAGUAUGUGUGCGUGCAUGUAGCAUAUGCAUAUGUACGGUGUUUCGCCAAAUAAAACUAUUUUAGAAGAAGGGGUGGGCAGCAGAAUAGGUCAAAACCACAAAAAAAACAGGUUUUGUUAAGAAUUUUUUUUACAGUGCACAGUACUACUACGGAUAUAUAGUAUAUAGAAUAUCUAACAGUCUAUUAUUAUAGAUAAUUUAGUAAUUAUUACAUUAUAAAAAGUGAUAUUUUAAAUGGAAUGAUCUUUUAGACUUUAUGCUAGUGUCAAAAAAAUAUUAUAAUGAUGUUAUUUCUGUUCUUUUACCAUGAUACUCUUAUAUUAUACUCAUGUAUACUAGUCAUACCACAUGUGAAAUUUUCAGUAGUAUACAAUUAAUCUUGACCAUCGGAUGUUUUUAUACUAGUCCUUUUUGAAUGCUACUAUAGUCUAGUAUUGUGCAUCAUAAAAGAGCUUAAAUUCUCUAGCUAGCCGUGCAGCAUAAACAUUUCUAUCGUGCAUCAGAUAGUUGUCUGUCUAAUUUAUGCUUUGUUCUCGUAGAUAACUUUUUAAGAGACUUGCUCCUACUCAUAUUGACUUCCUUUUUUAAUAUUGGAGAUGGGUACUGUCAAAAAAUACGAGGAUAUAAGGCCGCCAUUCUUUUUGUUGGAGGGAAGGGGAGAUGAAGCGUGGAUGAGUCGCAUUGCAUGAGCACACACGAGACCUGGUCAAAGUAAACUCCAGCAAUGGAAGAACCCAGGUCAACCCUGAUCGAGAAGACGAGGUAAUCCAUUGCAUUCCUAGAGAGAUACACCAUUUGUACCAGAAGGCGUGUUCAUAGCUGCAAUGCUAACGACGCACAUUAUCAUUAAUAAGUCUCAGCUCUCAUGCCCUGAUGUACAGGGCAAGAAAAUUCUGUAGCCAUAUAUAAAUAUAAUAUAGCCAUAUAAAUUUUUAAAGGUCACCAACUCACCAUCAAAUAUAUGGCUAGCUCUGUCACCAUAGAAGGGAUGAGCCUACCUCUGCAGGUUUGAACUCAUCAAGGAUGAAGUGGGAUUGCGUAGGAUGGCCUGAGGCACUCCGUUUUUGGCCUAGUUUUUCUGUGCUUAUGAGUGAGUUAAUGCCUUAAUGGACUUGUGUAACCAGAACAUCUUUGCAAUCUAGACUUGCUUUCUUUCUCCUUAAAUGAAUCACCAGUGCUCCUGCUUAUUUUCAAAAAAAAAAAGCCUAGCUCUGAUUUGUCUUUGACAAAUAUUCUAGUACAUUUACAUGGGGUUUCUUUAUAUCUUCAAAAAAUUUGGACAGUUUCACUGGUUUUUUCCCCUUUUUAUUUUAGGAAUAUUUUUACCGGAUAGUUACUGUUCUUGGGUACCAGGGCAACGUGGGCGUGGCAUUAUACUUGAGGUACUACGUUGAACGUUUCAACACAGACACUGCAGUGUACUCAGAUCGGCCAGCAGAAGAGGUUUGGGCUUCAGAAAUGAGAGGAUCCAAGUGUCACAUAACGCGGUUGGAGGACGGGACAAAAUGCAUUGACUUGACCUGGAGCAAUGAGCACCAGGAGAGUUGCAUAAAGGCCUUGGAUCCAACAUUUUGCUUCCAAAAAUUUCCAACGCCAAGCUCAGCUUCCAUCAACUCCAUCUGCCGACACCUCGCUAAUUCCUCGCCAGAUCGUUAGCCCGCGUACGUGCCGCAAUGGAGCAGCAGCCUCGCGUCCACCCAAACACGGCGCCUUUCAACCUGGAGACGGGCCACGCCGCCGCCGGCGGCGGUGUGUACCCGCCGCUGCCGACGACCCACGGCCAGUCCGCGAACCAGCAGCAGCUCGGCGGGGCCGGGCCCAACAGCUGGGUGGGCAACGACGCCAACACGCUGCUGGUGGUGGCGGCGCUGAUCACGACGCUCACCUACCAGCUCGGCACCAGCAUCCCCGGCGGGUACUGGCAGCAGGAUACGGCCGGCGUCGUCGGCCGCGACGGCAAGCCGGUGAUGUACCGCGCCGGUGACCCCAUCAUGCGCGACCUGCACCGGGCGAGGUACUGGGUGUUCAUGGGGGCGAGCUGGGUGGGGUUCGCGAGCUCCAUGGCGAUGACGCUGAGCCUGCUGGUGCGGAUGCCCGUGGGCUCGCGCCACGUCCGGUGGUCGUUCGCGGUGGCCUACUCCAGCCUCGUGCUCACCUUCGUGGUGUCCCAGCCUAAGACGCACCUGUCGGUGGACAUCAUAGUCUGGCUCGCCGUCCUCGCCUUCCUCUGGAUCGUCAUCAGCCUCCACCCCGACCGCCGCGCGCGCGUCAUCCAGGACCUCUGCUGCAGCGGACGCCAAGC